RNAcentral lists this long non-coding RNA (392 nucleotides) under Sorghum bicolor (sorghum). Its description in RNAcentral is "long non-coding RNA (SBIC_LNC014993)". Lineage: Eukaryota; Viridiplantae; Streptophyta; Magnoliopsida; Poales; Poaceae. The record is from RNAcentral.
CCCCCUGAACCUCAUUAGAAUGGCUGACUCUCAAGAACCAAUCCUUCCAUCCUACGGUAGGACUGGGCCAGGAACGAAAGGUAUCCUUCCACAGAUCUAGAGAAAAAUUCUCGGCACUAAAGGGGAUUCUGUAUGUUUCUGCGUUGAUUAGAUUGGUGGGAUCUGGGUUCCCUAGUGGACCGAGACAUUGGAGGUGUGGUUGAUCGGUAGGGAUGACAAUCCUAUUGGACAGAUCCUAGGAGUUUUUGGGGAUGAAAAGAAGAACAAAAGAAAGAAAAAAAACUUUCAGCAAAGAUGAACUGCGAAUGAACAGGAGUGCUGUGAAAAUACAAGGGAGAACUGGAACUAACCUCAGGCACGAUGAAGUUGAUGGCCAUUUUCUCGCAUGGGAG